AAGUUGCUGUUCACAUACAUUUUUAAGAUCUAAAAUUUAGAUUUAAAUAUAUGCUAGGAUCUAUUUUUAUAUUAGAUGUAAAUAAUCUGGAUAUGUAUAUGUGAUAUAAUUAUUAAUAGUCUAGUACUCUUCGAAAUUCAUAGUAAAGACCGUCCUGCCAUAGAAGACUAUGGUGGAAGAGGUGCUUGUAUGAAUCAAGAAGAACCACAAAAAUAAUUUAUUUUAUGAUGCCUGAGAUUCAUGUUAAUAAAUCUAAAAUUUAUUUAGUUAUGUAUGAGAUACAUAAUAUGUUUUAAUAUGUAUGAGAUGUAUGUUGUUAAAUCUCACCUUGCAAGAGAUGCAUGUUUAUUAGAUCUAAAAAUUGCAUGAAAUGCAUGCUUGUUAGAUCUAAAAAUAGCAUGAGAUAUAGAUUGGAAGAUACAUAAGAUGUAUAUAAUUAGAUCUAAUCUUUGAUAAAUAUAUGUAAUAUAUUUGACCAUGUUUAGAUCAGAUUUUAUACUUAUGUAUGAGAUACAUAGAUUAUUAAUUUAGAUCUGAAAGUAGUUUCGAUAUCUAAACUACCUCAUAUUCAUAAUGUACUUCAUUAAAGAUCUAAAAUUAUGAAUUAAAGAUCUAAAAUUAAGUAUUAAGAAUAUGAAAUUAAGAUUAAAAUCUAAAAUUAAAAAUUUAAGAUCUUAAUCUUAAGCAUAAAAUAUGAAGAUUUAGGCAUGGAUAGUUCAAUUAGAUCUAGUAAUUCAAUUACUUUUGGAUAAUCAAUUGGUAUAUGGUGGGGCUCAAUUAAGAUGAGUAGUUGACCCAACCCAAUCAAGAGUUGAUUAGGAUUUGGUCAAGAGUGCUUGAGAUCAGCUCAGUAGUUGUAAAUUGAUUAUAUCGAUUAAGAGCC
This 883-nucleotide long non-coding RNA is filed under the name Elaeis guineensis (African oil palm). Its description in RNAcentral is "long non-coding RNA (EGUI_LNC041192)". The record is from RNAcentral. Lineage: Eukaryota; Viridiplantae; Streptophyta; Magnoliopsida; Arecales; Arecaceae.